GUGUUGAGAGUUGGGUCCCACGCAUCAAGAACCUGUGAACCUCGUCAGGACCGGAAGGUAGCAGCGAUAAGCAGUCUUUCUUGAGUGCCGUGGACAAAUCU
This 101-nucleotide signal recognition particle RNA is filed under the name Clostridium cellulovorans 743B. Its description in RNAcentral is "SRP RNA; RNA component of signal recognition particle". It matches the Rfam family "Bacterial small signal recognition particle RNA". From Rfam's summary of the family: The signal recognition particle (SRP) is a universally conserved ribonucleoprotein involved in the co-translational targeting of proteins to membranes. Archaeal SRP consists of a 7S RNA and homologues of the eukaryotic SRP19 and SRP54 proteins. Lineage: Bacteria; Bacillati; Bacillota; Clostridia; Eubacteriales; Clostridiaceae. The record is from RNAcentral.